GAGAUUCCCACUGUCCCUGUCU
Molecule: small nuclear RNA, 22 nt
Filed under: Arabidopsis thaliana (thale cress)
Lineage: Eukaryota; Viridiplantae; Streptophyta; Magnoliopsida; Brassicales; Brassicaceae
Description: snRNA_12334
Source: RNAcentral